CAAAAUAACAAAGUAAAAAUAAAAAAAUAUUACAUGAAUAUGAAGAUCUAAAACGAAACUCAGUAUGAAGAAUUGGAAUUUGCAAAGUACUUAAAAAUUACAAUAAAAUGUCAGCUUCAUUCAUCAAAUACAUAAGCUAUGUCAAUAAUUUUGAUAAGAUGUGAAGUCAAAAUCGAUGAUACAAAAUAUUGAAGGGUAAACAAAUUUCAGACACAGUUUCCGUCCCUUAUGAAUCAGACCAAAACUUUAGACGUUAAAUACACGAAUAUAUAUUUUUGAGUGUCUAACUCGUAAAGGUCUAAUGUACAGAUUUACCAAACGCUAACUUUGCCAGCGAAUGUUUGAUCCUAUAAUUACAUCUUUGUCAUCGUCUUUUUUUAGACAAUGGCAUUGGGUGUUUUCUUUUAAUUGUGGUUUCCCUUGGAAUCCUUCUUCCCUUUUUAAUGUAAUUUAUAAACUACAACAAUUGAUAAAAAGAAUGCCAGUAUACAGACACUGCUGGUAAAUAUGAAAUAGGUUUCGUAAUGAUAAAUCUGUCUCUCUACGGAUUUAAGAGCUUUAAAUUUCCAAAUGUACAUCUUCAUCUUCGUCUUUAGUUUAAACAAUGUAAAUAAUGUAGAGCUGUCAUUGUAAUGAUUUUAGCACUAUAAUUUUUCAAAUGUACAUCUUCGUCUUUAAGCAAUGUAAAUAAUAUGUUUCAUUGUAUUUACAUAUAACCAUCAAGCCAUAAGGACCAUAACCUACAGUCAAUUGAACAUCUAUAUUACACAGUUUGGUAAGUUUUUUACAGUAUGGAUUUAAGUGAAUGGCAACAUUUGAAU
This is a long non-coding RNA of Mytilus californianus (California mussel), 821 nucleotides long. RefSeq lists it as uncharacterized. The transcript is spliced from 2 exons. The record is from RefSeq and is a predicted model, not a curated record. Lineage: Eukaryota; Metazoa; Mollusca; Bivalvia; Mytilida; Mytilidae.